UACGUAGGGGGCAAGCGUUGUCCGGAUUUAUUGGGCGUAAAGAGCGUGUAGGCGGCCUGAAAGGUCAGCUGUGAAAACUCGAGGCUCAACCUCGAGACGUCGGUUGAAACCAUCUGGCUAGAGUCCGGAAGAGGAGUGUGGAAUUCCCGGUGUAGCGGUGAAAUGCGCAGAUAUCAGGAGGAACACCAAUGGCGAAGGCAGCUCGCUGGGACGGUACUGACGCUGAGACGCGAAAGCGUGGGGAGCAAACAGG
This 253-nucleotide ribosomal RNA is filed under the name uncultured bacterium. RNAcentral describes it as "partial 16S ribosomal RNA". It matches the Rfam family "Bacterial small subunit ribosomal RNA", at positions 524 to 776 of the family's 1533-position model. The record is from RNAcentral.